This 21-nucleotide non-coding RNA is filed under the name Caenorhabditis elegans. The record is from RNAcentral. Lineage: Eukaryota; Metazoa; Nematoda; Chromadorea; Rhabditida; Rhabditidae.
UCGAAUUUCUAAAAUUGCCAA